RNAcentral lists this ribosomal RNA (428 nucleotides) under uncultured archaeon. Its description in RNAcentral is "bacterial SSU rRNA". It matches the Rfam family "Archaeal small subunit ribosomal RNA", at positions 474 to 903 of the family's 1478-position model. The record is from RNAcentral.
CACCAGCCCCUCGAGUGGUGGGGAUGAUUAUUUGGCCUAAGCGUCCGUAGCCGGCCGGGUAAGUUUCCCGUUAAAUCCAGCGUCUCAAGCGUUGGACUGCGGGAAAUACUGCCUGGCUAGAGAGUGGGAGAGGUCAGCGGUAUUCUGGGGGUAGGGGCGAAAUCCUUUGAUCCCCGGAGGACCACCAGUGGCGAAGGCUGCUGACUAGAACACGUCUGACGGUCAGGGACGAAAGCUGGGGUAGCGAACCGGAUUAGAUACCCGGGUAGUCCCAGCCGUAAACGAUGCAUGCUAGGUGUUGGGUUGGCCACGAGCCACCCCAGUGCCGCAGGGAAGCCGUUAAGCAUGCCGCCUGGGAAGUACGAUCGCAAGAUUGAAACUUAAAGGAAUUGGCGGGGGAGCACCACCAGGCGUGAAGCCUGCGGUUU